RNAcentral lists this ribosomal RNA (468 nucleotides) under uncultured bacterium. RNAcentral's name for it is "partial 16S ribosomal RNA". It matches the Rfam family "Bacterial small subunit ribosomal RNA", at positions 28 to 507 of the family's 1533-position model. The record is from RNAcentral.
GACGAACGCUGGCGGCGUGCUUAACACAUGCAAGUCGAACGGAAAGGCCCUGCUUUUGUGGGGUGCUCGAGUGGCGAACGGGUGAGUAACACGUGAGUAACCUGCCCUUGACUUUGUGAUAACUUCAGGAAACUGGGGCUAAUACCGGAUAGGAGCUCCUGCUGCAUGGUGGGGGUUGGAAAGUUUCGGCGGUUGGGGAUGGACUCGCGGCUUAUCAGCUUGUUGGUGGGGUAGUGGCUUACCAAGGCUUUGACGGGUAGCCGGCCUGAGAGGGUGACCGGCGACAUUGGGACUGAGAUACGGCGCAGACUGCUACGGGAGGCAGCAGUGGGGAAUAUUGCACAAUGGGCGGAAGCCUGAUGCAGCAACGCCGCGUGCGGGAUGACGGCCUUCGGGUUGUAAACCGCUUUCGCCUGUGACGAAGCGUGAGUGACGGUAAUGGGUAAAGAAGCACCGGCUAACUACGUG